This 29-nucleotide non-coding RNA is filed under the name Mus musculus (house mouse). The record is from RNAcentral. Lineage: Eukaryota; Metazoa; Chordata; Mammalia; Rodentia; Muridae.
UNGAAACUGCCUGGUGCUGAUGCCAUGGU